GGUCAAGCUACAAAGGGCGCAUGGUGAAUGCCUUGGCAUCAGGAGCCGAUGAAGGACGUGAUAAGCUGCGAUAAGCUUCGGGUAGGCGCACAUAGCCAGAGAUCCGGAGAUUUCCGAAUGGGGAAACCCGCAUGAGAAACCUCAUGCAUCGUAAAGUGAAUACAUAGCUUUAUGAAGG
This 178-nucleotide non-coding RNA is filed under the name Clostridium butyricum E4 str. BoNT E BL5262. RNAcentral's name for it is "Bacterial large subunit ribosomal RNA". It matches the Rfam family "Bacterial large subunit ribosomal RNA", at positions 1 to 180 of the family's 2925-position model. The record is from Rfam by way of RNAcentral. Lineage: Bacteria; Bacillati; Bacillota; Clostridia; Eubacteriales; Clostridiaceae.